UUAAUCCUCACUAGGGUCGCGGGGGGUGCUGGAGCCUAUCCCGGCCAUCUUCGGGCAGUAGGCGGGGAACACCCUGAAUCAGUUGCCAGCCAAUCGCAGGGCACACAGAGACGAACAACCAUCCACGCUCACAUUCACACCUAGGGAAUAGUAAACCAAAAACAAAAAAACUCACCUCACAUCCUCCUUUUGAAAAUAGAUAUAGGCGUGUCACAAUUGUACAGUACGCGACACAUUUCUGCUUUCACAAUAAAUCAAGUCUAAUAGAAACAUUAUUUUACUUACUGACAUAUCCUGGCCGCCAAGAAGAGAGAUUAGGAAGCGUAGAGGGGAAUCCAGGUAUAUAAGACAUUUUCGUGUCAAAACAAGCACAAUUUCAGACGUGCACGACACAAGGCGAAACUCUGACGAACCUGACAAGAAAAAGAUUAAAUAGAAUAUUUUUAGCGGUCGCAAGGGUGCAGUGGAAUGUAAAUACAGUGUGCUGAGCGUAUGAAGCUCCAAUCGGCGCCGCCGAGAUUGCAAAGCGUCACAUGUACGGUACGCUAUCAACAAUGCAUGAACUAAUUAAGCCGCACGGGUGUAAAGCGUGACAUCUUAAUUGGAAAUAGAAUGGUCAAAUCUGUCAUCAUGCCGCUGACUAAGGCGUUGCUCAGAGCACCGUAGCCAUCAUUAUCAGUAAAUUAAAGUACACGUUCAAUGACAGCGUUGACAUUAGGUUUUCAUUAUUUGUUUGACAGUCUAAUUACAAUUCAAAGGAAAGACAUACGGAUGCGCUCUCAAUGACAUUUAACAUACGACCCAAACUCGAGAAAACGGAAAUCAAAUUCUGUAAAUGAGAACCUCAUCGUCCAAAGUCUUCUACUGAUGAAGUGAAAUGAAAAAGGAACAAAUCUGGUACUCGCCUCAUUAUAUUUGACCAUCCUUCCUGUUUAAAGUCGUGCGAGAUUGCAAGGACCUCUCUUGUGCAAAGCCAUCUUGAAUUCAGGCCACAUAUUUCCACUUGGAUUACGUUUGGGCUCUGGCAGGGCCAUUCCAAGCUAACUUUCUUUUCCCCAAGUGAUGAAAACAUGAAGGCAAAAUUCCUUGUCAAAUGUCAUCUUCUGCAACACUUAUUUUUGUAUUUGGAAAAGUUGAUCAGUCACUCUACUUAACUUUGAAAAAUGCCAAAGCACACCAAACCAACAGUGAAUUGUGGUGGUGGCUGCAACAUGAACAGCGGCUGUUUUCCUUUAGCUGAAAAUGGGUCUGGAAUUAUCCGCAGUUCCAAACCCUGUCAGUUAUUCUGACAGAAAUAAAACAACAAAUUCCUAAAACAUGCAAUUCAGUGAUUUCUUUUUUUUUUUUUUACAUUUACAUCCCGAUAGAGCUUAUAGACUGCGUGAAUUGUGGAACGAUUUGUCAUUUGGGGUGUGUCGACUUUUUAUAUCCACCGUAGAUCACAUUAUAUAUGGGAACAAAUGCGGAAAUAUUUAUUGAGGCCGAGGAAAAAUGUGUUUUUCUUUUACCUCAACUUCCGCUUCAAGUCAAAACUCCAGCCUGAGUGUGACAGGUAUAACCCCAAAAGCAAGUUAAGAUUGCAAAUGUGGGACUUUGUCAUUUAAA
Hippocampus zosterae (dwarf seahorse) is the source of this 1605-nucleotide long non-coding RNA. RefSeq lists it as uncharacterized. Lineage: Eukaryota; Metazoa; Chordata; Actinopteri; Syngnathiformes; Syngnathidae. The transcript has 3 exons. The record is from RefSeq and is a predicted model, not a curated record.